CGCAUUUCCUUUUUGACUUAAGAGGGAGAGAGAGAGAGAGAAGCGGAGGCUGGGGGCUGGUGGACUCAUCGAGCUCCCAUCUGUGGGGCAUCUCACAGGUCUCUGCAGCUCCAAAAGUCAGCUGAAAAAACAAGCACUCUCUUUUUAGCAGUUGAUGCAAGACACAUCAGGACUCGGGCAAAAGGCAAAGAAAGAAAGCAAACCCACUCUAUUUGGAGUUAGAAGCAACUGCUACUGAUCUGGUUUUGGUCUCGCAUAGGUUGAACGCAUUUGCUACGGUCCUGAUAUAUGUCAAGCAGUAAAGAUACGGGAGUUAAAGCUGCCACAGGGCUGGUCCUGCAAGAUUGGAGGAUGGAGACCUUCAGUGGAGGUUGGACGUACCCAGGUGACUCCAAGGUGUAUUAAGAUUUUUCCUCUGCUAAAAAAGCCCCAGUUCUAUCAGAAAAAAAAAUAUUGCUGAAGAAGAGGGGAUAAAGAGGGAUCUGAUUCACCUCUUAACAAAAUAUGGUCUGGCAGAAGAGGAAUAGAAGAGGGACAGCGGGAGGGAGCUGAACUCCCCCCAGCACCCCCUAUAGAGAGGCCCAUGGAAAUACCAGCAGAAGAUUUGUGGCAUCAUUUGAGAGGAAUAAAUGACGACAAACAUCCCAUAAAGAGGCAUCGGAAUAUUUAGCAAUCAAAGAAGCAAGGCUAUCUGCACAGUUUGAAGACAAAAUUUUCUACCCAGAAUUAAAUCAUCUCAGAAGUGAGAAGAGAAGCUGCUGCUACAAUAACUAACCUUUCUUAAUUUCUCAAUAAUAUUUUUUAAAUUAAAACCACGCUACUUUUGCCAGAAACCAUGUUACUGGAAACUUCUCUCUUCUUCCUCAAUUGUACUAACAUUGAUUGUAUAAUUUUUUCACUCAAUACAACUUUUUCAAAAUACAGAAAAAUGUAAAAAUCAUUUUAAACAGCU
Strigops habroptila (Kakapo) is the source of this 952-nucleotide long non-coding RNA. RefSeq lists it as uncharacterized. Lineage: Eukaryota; Metazoa; Chordata; Aves; Psittaciformes; Psittacidae. The transcript is spliced from 6 exons. The record is from RefSeq and is a predicted model, not a curated record.